Neofelis nebulosa (Clouded leopard) is the source of this 72-nucleotide non-coding RNA. NCBI's taxonomy places the organism in Eukaryota, Metazoa, Chordata, Mammalia, Carnivora, Felidae. The record is from the annotation of a RefSeq genome assembly.
GCCUGGGUGGCUCAGUUGGUUGAGCAUCUGACUUCUGCUCAGGGUUCGAGGGUUCGAGCCCCGCGUCAGGCU